CCUUACCUGGUCUUGACAUCCACGGAAGUUUUCAGAGAUGAGAAUGUGCCUUCGGGAACCGUGAGACAGGUGCUGCAUGGCUGUCGUCAGCUCGUGUUGUGAAAUGUUGGGUUAAGUCCCGCAACGAGCGCAACCCUUAUCCUUUGUUGCCAGCGGUCCGGCCGGGAACUCAAAGGAGACUGCCAGUGAUAAACUGGAGGAAGGUGGGGAUGACGUCAAGUCAUCAUGGCCCUUACGACCAGGGCUACACACGUGCUACAAUGGCGCAUACAAAGAGAAGCGACCUCGCGAGAGCAAGCGGACCUCAUAAAGUGCGUCGUAGUCCGGAUUGGAGUCUGCAACUCGACUCCAUGAAGUCGGAAUCGCUAGUAAUCGUGGAUCAGAAUGCCACGGUGAAUACGUUCCCGGGCCUUGUACACACCGCCCGUCACACCAUGGGAGUGGGUUGCAAAAGAAGUAGGUAGCUUAACCUUCGGGAGGGCGCUUACCACUUUGUGAUUCAUGACUGGGGUGAAGUCGUAACAAGGUAACCGUAGGGGAACCUGCGGUUGGAUCACCUCCUUACCUUAAAGAAGC
This 576-nucleotide ribosomal RNA is filed under the name Shigella flexneri. RNAcentral's name for it is "bacterial SSU rRNA". It matches the Rfam family "Bacterial small subunit ribosomal RNA", at positions 969 to 1533 of the family's 1533-position model. RNAcentral also lists the same sequence under 1 other name. Lineage: Bacteria; Pseudomonadati; Pseudomonadota; Gammaproteobacteria; Enterobacterales; Enterobacteriaceae. The record is from RNAcentral.